UCCUGGCUUAGGAUGAACGCUAGCGACAGGCCUAACACAUGCAAGUCGAGGGGCAGCACAAGGAGCAAUCUGAGGUGGCGACCGGCGCACGGGUGAGUAACACGUAUGCAACCUGCCUGUAAGCGGGGAAUAACCCGUUGAAAGACGGACUAAUACCGCAUAAUACUAAAUUACUGCAUGGUAAUUUAUUUAAACAUUUAUGGCUUACAGAUGGGCAUGCGCAUGAUUAGCUAGUUGGAGAGGUAACGGCUCCCCAAGGCAACGAUCAUUAGGGGUUCUGAGAGGAAGGUCCCCCACACUGGUACUGAGACACGGACCAGACUCCUACGGGAGGCAGCAGUGAGGAAUAUUGGUCAAUGGACGAGAGUCUGAACCAGCCAAGUCGCGUGCAGGAAGAAUGUCCUAUGGAUUGUAAACUGCUUUUGCAGGGGAAUAAAGUGCAUCACGUGUGAUGUUUUGUAUGUACUCUGCGAAUAAGGAUCGGCUAACUCCGUGCCAGCCGCCGC
RNAcentral lists this ribosomal RNA (506 nucleotides) under uncultured bacterium. RNAcentral describes it as "bacterial SSU rRNA". It matches the Rfam family "Bacterial small subunit ribosomal RNA", at positions 17 to 518 of the family's 1533-position model. The record is from RNAcentral.